UACGAAGGGAGCUAGCGUUGUUCGGAAUUACUGGGCGUAAAGCGCACGUAGUCGGCUUUGCAAGUCGGGUGUGAAAUCCCCGGGCUCAACCUGGGAACUGCAUCCGAGACUGCAUUGCUAGAGUAUGGGAGAGGGAAGCGGAAUUUCUGGUGUAGCAGUGAAAUGCGUAGAUAUCAGAAGGAACAUCAGUGGCGAAGGCGGCUUCCUGGACCAAUACUGACGAUCAGGUGCGAAAGCGUGGGGAGCGAACAGG
Molecule: ribosomal RNA, 253 nt
Filed under: uncultured bacterium
Lineage: Bacteria
Description: partial 16S ribosomal RNA
Rfam family: Bacterial small subunit ribosomal RNA
Source: RNAcentral